RNAcentral lists this transfer RNA (100 nucleotides) under Photobacterium damselae. RNAcentral's name for it is "tRNA-Asp". The record is from RNAcentral. RNAcentral also lists the same sequence under 1 other name. Lineage: Bacteria; Pseudomonadati; Pseudomonadota; Gammaproteobacteria; Vibrionales; Vibrionaceae.
GAGCGGUAGUUCAGUUGGUUUGCUUUUUGUUUAAGAACUGGGGCCGGCCUGUCACGCCGGGGGCGCGCUGAUGUUCGGCAUAGCAGUCCCGUCCGCUUCG